This 260-nucleotide unclassified non-coding RNA is filed under the name Hevea brasiliensis (rubber tree). Lineage: Eukaryota; Viridiplantae; Streptophyta; Magnoliopsida; Malpighiales; Euphorbiaceae. The record is from RNAcentral.
GGAUACCCACCCGGAAGGCCCAUUGAUGCUGCACAGGCUAUUGGAUACAAAAGGCUUGAAAAGCGAUAUCAUGAUUUCAUUAUGAAGAGCGGUGGGUGGUUCUACAAGGAUCGAUUAGGUCGUUCGAGGGGACCUAUGGAAUUAAUACAGCUUAAGACUGCUUGGGGUGCUGGAAUUAUUGAUAAGCACACCUUCAUUUGGGGUGAGGAUAUGGAUGAAUGGGCUCCCAUCGGAAUGGUAUAUGGUCUGGGAAAAGCAAU